This 6061-nucleotide long non-coding RNA is filed under the name Solanum tuberosum (potato). Its description in RNAcentral is "long non-coding RNA (STUB_LNC001667)". Lineage: Eukaryota; Viridiplantae; Streptophyta; Magnoliopsida; Solanales; Solanaceae. The record is from RNAcentral.
UACAUUUCAGAAAGGAAAAGCUAGGGUCCUUUCCAGUGGCAAAAUAGUGGGGGAUCCAGGGAAGUGGAAUGUUGUGCGAGACAAUCGCAAACUAGUCAAUAGGGACAACACACUCCCCAUUAAUGUGGCAAACAAAUUUCAAGCACUUAAUCAAGAAGAGGAGAUCCAAGCAAUGGUAACAAAUGGUAAAGUUGAAAACACAACCGAUGUAGAAGCUAAUCAAAAAGAUAAAGAUGACGGGAACAUGACUUCAAAUGAGUGGGUUACAAAAUCAUUUGGAGCAAUAUUACCAACUCAUGAUACCGACCAAUCAGCAAGCCCUGCAAAACGUCAUGUUUUAGAUCAAUAUGCACAAAAUAAAGAGAAAGAAGGGGAGGACAAAGAAAUAUCUGUUGGAGAGCAAUCUGGCCGAGAUAAUUAUCAGAAAGAUGUAAUAAAUGGUGACUAUGAGGAGCAGAAUAAAAAUUCAUCUGGGAACUGUUUGGCUACAUGUGGCUCUACAAAACAACAAGGUUUCGAUAAAAUACAAGAAUUAGUAGAGAGUCGUGAUGCACGAGACAAAGAAGAACCUGAGAAUCAAUCUUUUAUGGAUUCAACCUUCGAGAUUGACAACGACAUUUCCAGUGGAAAAUGCCUGCAAGAUGAAAACAAUGAUGAGAAUGAGUUCAACUCGAACAUUGUAAGUAAUACAUCAAAGCAAAAGAUUGAUUCGGAGUUACAAUUGCAGACAAGUGAGCAUGAACAACACAACAACAAUAAAGAAAUAGCUCAAAUACAUUCAGCAAGACAAAAUGAAGAAUCCCUUGUGGUUAUGGUUAAUACAGAAUCUCCAAAUAAAGUUUUACAUGAUAUACUUACUCACAAGCAAGGAGACUCAAACUUGGAAGACUUGGAGGAGGUUAAGGUGACUGAAAUUUUUUACUCUGAUUCUAAUGAUGAGUGGUUUUUAAAUGAUGUAGAUCUGUCACCAAGAGCUAUUAAAGCUAUUAAAUCUGCAAGGAAAGGAAAAAAACAAGGACAUGGAGAUAUAUCACAACCAGUAAGGGUGCAACCAAAGAGACAGGUUUCAUCCCUUUUCGCAAAAUGAUAAUGAAUGCACUCAUUUGGAAUAUAAGGUCAGUGAGGACACAAAAUGCCUUUCAGAGGGUGCAAAUGUUACAUUAUCAUCACAAGUUUGCUUUUGUUGCAUUAUUAGAGCCUUUUCAAGCAGUUAGACACAUCAACAAGUAUAGAAGAAGAUUAAAAAUGCCAUUGGGGACUCAUAAUAACAAUGGAAAGAUUUGGUUAUUUACUAAUCACGGCUUUGAUGUUUCAGUGGUGAGUAAUUCAGAUCAGCAGCUCACUGUAUUGAUGAAAAACCACUUUACUGCUUUAAGUUUUUAUGUUACUAUAGUAUAUGCUAAGUGUGAUAGCAAUCUGAGGUUGAAUAUAUGGGAAGAGCUAUAUUCUAUUUCUACUGGGAUGGACAGACCUUGGUUGAUAGGUGGGGAUUUUAAUGUGGUUCUUAAUGGAGAAGAGUAGAUUGGUGGAGUACCAGUAGUUGCUGCAGAUGUUGAUGACUUCAAGACAUGUAUUGAAUCUUGCGAUCUUUCACAAGUACCAUUUAAAGGAAGUCCUUUUACUUGGUGGAAUGGUCGAGCAGGCGAUGAUUGUAUUUUUGAAAGAUUAGAUAGAAUACUGAUAAAUGCAGAGAUGCAAAAUAUUUUUGCUCAGUUAGAGAUUGAUCACUUGCCCAGAGUAGGAUCAGACCAUGCUCUAAUGUUAGUGUCUUGUGCAGAUGGAGGUGCAAAUAAAAAGAAACCUUUCAGGUUCUUGAAUUUUUGGACUGAGCAUGAAUCUUUUAAAGAAUUGGUUAGAUUGAAUUGGGAUUCUCAGAGUUCAUUUAACCCUUUUUUAGACUUUAAAAGAAAGAUCAAGAAAACUAAAACGGCACUAACUAUGUGGAGUAGAGAAACUUAUGGGGAUAUUUUUCAGCAACUUAUCAUAAGAGAGGAGAUUUCUAGAAUUAAAGAAAAAUUAUUUGAAGAAGACUCCUCUAGUGAAAAUAGAUCUAUCAUGCAAAAAGCAAAAGCUGAAUAUAAUUGAUAUCUACACUUUGAAGAGCUUUUUUGGCAACAAAAAGCUGGAUAUGAUUGGUUUGAAAAUGGGGAUAGGAAUACCAGAUUCUUCCACAGUCUGGUGAAAGGAAGAAGACAGAAGGGGAGAGUAAAUAGAAUUCAAAAUUCACAGGGGGAGUGGUUACAAGAAGAAGGGGCAAUUGCUAAUGAAGCAGUAGAGCAUUUCCAUAGACAUUUUCAACAGGAAGGUGAUGUUACUAAUUUUCCUUUAUUGUCUUACAUCUCUGAAUUAGUUACUGAGGAAGAGAACGCAGCUUUGUGUGCUAGUCCAGUUUUAGAAGACGUGAAAAAAGCAGUGUUUAAGCUAAGUGCAGACAGUGCCAGCGGCCCUGAUGGGUUAACAGGUAAAUUUUUUCAGUAGUGCUGGGAUAUAGUUAGUGGUGAUAUUUUAAGAAUGGUCCAGGAUUUUUUUGCUGGCAAUACCCUUCCGAAAUCUAUUACACAUACUAAUCUGGUUAUCAUACCAAAGAAGGCACAUGUACAAACCUUCUCUGAUAUGAGACCUAUUAGUUUGAGUAAUUUUGUGAACAAGAUCUUGUCUAGGAUUAUUCAUGAUAGGCUGGAAGAUAUGUUACCCAAACUGAUUUCUUCAAAUCAGUCUGGUUUUAUUAAAGGAAGAAAUAUUAUUGAAAAUGUUCUACUAGCGCAAGAGAUGGUAACUGACAUUGCUAAAAGAGGGAAGCCUGCUAAUGUUGUCAUUAAACUGGACAUGGCUAAAGCAUAUGAUAAAGUGUCUUGGUUUUUUCUGAUGAAGGUCUUGAGGAAGAUGGGCUUUGAUUCAAGAUUUACAGAUAUGAUAUGGAGACUUAUUGCUAACAAUUACUACUCAGUCCUUAUUAAUGGCCAAUCAUAUGGUUUCUUUCAUUCUACAAGGGGUGUGAAGCAAGGAGACCCUCUCUCUCCGGCCCUAUUUAUUCUAGCAGCUGAAGUUCUUUCUAGAGCUCUAAAUUCUUUAUUUGAUGAUCCUCAGUAUGUGGGUUAUGGUUUGCCUAAAUGGAGUACAAACUUAAAUCAUUUAGCUUAUGCAGAUGAUACCAUUAUAUUUGCAUCAACUAAUGAGUACUCCUUAAGAAGAAUAAUGGCUGUUUUACAGGAAUAUAAGCAUCAAUCUGGCCAAAAGGUGAACAAAGACAAGAGUUCCUUUUAUUUGCAUCAAAAUGUAGCAGCAGGAAUUCCAACCUCAGUGGAGCAAUGUGUUGGAAUGAACAAGGGUUCUUUUCCUACGAAGUAUUUGGGAUGUCCUAUCACCCAUACAAGAAAGAGAAAAGAACACUAUGCAGAGUUGAUUGAAAGAGUUAAAGGUAAACUACAAGUAUGGAAAGGAAGGAUGAUAUCCUUUGGUGGUAAAGAAGUUCUACUUUCUAGUGUUUUGCAAAGCAUUCCUAUAUAUGUAUUAUCUGCAAUCACUCCUCCUAUAUGUGUGAUCAAGGAAUUACAUAAGAUCUUUGCUAAAUUUUUUUGGAGUAAUAAGGAGUCUGGUAGGAGUAAACAUUGGGCUGAAUGGGUCAAAGUCUGUCUACCAAAGCAAGAAGGGGGGCUUGGUUUCAAGUCAUUAUUUGAAGUUUCUCAGGCCUUAUAUGCUAAAUUGUGGUGGAAAUUUAGGACACAAAACAAUUUGUGGUCCAACUUCUUUUGGAACAAAUAUUGCAAGAAACAAAUUCCUUCUCUUGUGCAAUGGAAAGGAGGUUCUCAAAUCUGGAAACAUAUGCUUGAAAAUAGAGAUGUUAUUGAACAACAUUUGUGGUGGGAACCUAGGGGUGGAACUUCUUCCAUUUGGUAUGAUAAUUGGUCCAAUCUUGGGCCUUUGCACUUACAUCAGUUAGGCACCCCAACCUGUCACCCCAUGAGAGAUAUAGGGGACCUUUUUAAUGAGGAGGGUUGGGAUUUUGAUGCUCUUCACGAUGCUGUUCCUGAAUAUGUAGUGGAUCAUAUCACACAUAAUAUGAGGUUUCUACAGUUGGAAGAUUUAGCGGACAAACCUUGGUGGACCAAAUCUAGUACUGGAUAUUUCAGUGUUAAGAGUGUUUGGGAAGUGCUAAGGAAAAAGGAGAAUGUCGAUGAAGAUUUCAAAUCUUUAUGGGUGAAAGGUUUACCUUUCAAGUUCUCAUUUCUAGCCUGGAGGAUUUGGCGAGGAAAAGUACCUGUGGCUACUGUCAUUCAUGCUUGGAAUCCUAAUAUCUCUCAGAAUUGCAGGUGUUGUAACAUUCCUGAGAAUGAGUCUAUUAAUCAUUUGUUCUUGAGAGGAGAGAUCGCAACCAGAAUAUGGUCGUAUUACUCUAGAGCGGUUGGAAUAAUUGGGGUCAUGUUGAAUGUAAAACAGAUGGUGAGAAAAUGGUGGUCUACUGAUGGUAACUAUAGGAUAAAACUAGUUUAUCAGGCUAUUCCUAUAGUUAUAAUGUGGUUUUUGUGGAAGAGGAGAAAUACUAUAUUAAAUGGUGGAUAUUAUUUGGUUGGAAAGGUGAUAUGGGAAAUUAAUAACACUAUUCUGAAGUUCAUUAAGCUCCGAUGUAAGGGCAAUUUUGGUUUGAAUAAUUGGCCUCUAAUUGUGCAGUAUCUGGAAGGGUAUAGCGUAGUCUAUAACUUCAAAGUGGUGAAAUGGGUUCCACCUCCGAUAAAUUGGUUUAAGGGUAAUACUGAUGGUGCUUCUAAAGGCAACCCUGGACCUAGUUCAGCUGCUUUUUGUAUUAGGGAUCAUGAAGGAAAUCUAAUUGUAGCUAAAGGGGUCAGACUUCAGGAGACCACCAAUUUGAUUGCAGAAGCCAUAGCCAUAAGAGAAUGUUUGGUGUUUGCAGAGACAAUAUGUUGUCUCAGAUUAUUAUUGAGACUGAUUCUCUGGCAAUGGUUCAUAUUCUAGAGGGACAGUGGGAAACUCCAUGGAGUGUGGCUUUGGAAGUUAGAUUCAUUCAGAAUUUGAAGGGAAUUGUGUCGGCAAGAGUACAACAUUCCCUCAGGGAAGGAAAUACUCUUGCUGAUUAUUUUGCUAACUUAGUUUUUGAUUUUGCAGGUAACUAUCAACUUAAUUCUAUACAAGAAGUUCCCAAUGAAGGCAAAAAUAUUAUAUACAUGGAUAAAAGUGGUACUCCUAAUAUCAGAAGAUUUUUAGCGGAAUCAAUUUGUUGAUUUACUACUUGAUGCAGAUUUAACUUUUUGAGAGGAAUACCAGUUUAAAACAUAGUAUUCAGUGACUACAGUAAUGUCUGAAGAAAUUUCGUUAUGGUUUGUGUGUUUCGCACCUGGUGAGGGCUUUGAGGUGUCCAAGGAAUACCUAACCAAGACAUUAUUAUCAAUACUAGGUGCUUGUUUUAAUAUCUGUACUGCUGCAAUUUUGAAUCUGCAAAGAGAUUACAUGGUAUCAUCUCUUUCAAGAUUGUCCUCUAAAAGUGUGAUUUAUUUUUUAGACAAAAAUUUAGAUGGUGGUAUUAAUUUCUUUUGAGAUUCAAUCCAUCAAAUUUUAGUUUAGAAAAUUUAUACAUAAAUUUAGAGAUGACUGUAGAUUGUUUUAUUCCAUCACGUCAGCAUAAAGGCACAAUCUAGUGUAUGCAUAGUGACAAUUUCAAUAGAUCUAGUAGUAUCUGAUAAUUUCUUACCUGAAGUAAGAUCUUUUAUGUCGUCUGCUCAGAGAACACUCAUCGAUCUUGAAGAUCUGACGUUCCUAGCUCCUAUUGCGAGAUAGAGAAGAGUGAAUUUCUUAGAAGUGAAGAUGGAGAUUAUCUUUGAUAGCGGUGCUUUCUCCGGGGGUUGGACGACGACAAGUAGCUCACACGCUUAAUUAUGGUGCUUCCUCCGGGGAUCAGAAAAUAACAACAACCUUGUCUUCAUCCAUGAUCUGCUUCUUCCAGCAGAUAUGUUCAAGAUAUGUUACAGUGACCUUUCCACAUCUUUGUUCAUUUGGUCCUUUUUCUUAUUUUAUUUUUGUCUUAUUGGACAAGGCCACUUUUGGGCCU